Molecule: long non-coding RNA, 329 nt
Organism: Zingiber officinale
Lineage: Eukaryota; Viridiplantae; Streptophyta; Magnoliopsida; Zingiberales; Zingiberaceae
Exons: 2
Source: RefSeq, a predicted model, not a curated record
CCCACGCCUUGACGCCUCAACCUCUUUGCAGUCCCUGAUCUCCAAGCUUGAAUCCCAGCAAUCCGGCAGUCCUUGAUCUCGAAGCUCCUGUUAAAGCCCGUGUCCUGCAUGAUCUGUGCACCGAAGAUAGCAAAGCAAACUACCAUGUUGUUUCUUUCUCUGCACAUGCAGACACAAAAGCCAUGCGACUUCUGUUUGCUCGACGCUUGAAAUUGUUGGUAUUGUAAGUGUGAGCUGUGAAUUCUGACGUCGAUGGUGCAUUCAGAUGCAAUAGUUCUGAUGGAACAUUGUUUUUGUUUAUUUUGGUUUGAUAUCGUUGAACUUUUCAA